GAUGAACGCUGGCGGCGUGCCUAAUACAUGCAAGUCGAGCGAACAGAUGAGGAGCUUGCUCCUCUGACGUUAGCGGCGGACGGGUGAGUAACACGUGGAUAACCUACCUAUAAGACUGGGAUAACUUCGGGAAACCGGAGCUAAUACCGGAUAAUAUAUUGAACCGCAUGGUUCAAUAGUGAAAGACGGUUUUGCUGUCACUUAUAGAUGGAUCCGCGCCGCAUUAGCUAGUUGGUAAGGUAACGGCUUACCAAGGCAACGAUGCUUAGCCGACCUGAGAGGGUGAUCGGCCACACUGGAACUGAGACACGGUCCAGACUCCUACGGGAGGCAGCAGUAGGGAAACUUCCGCAAUGGGCGGAAGGCUGACGGAGCAACGCCGCGUGAGUGAUGGAGGGCUUCGGAUCGUAAAACUCUGUUAUUAGGGAAGAACAAAUGUGUAAGUAACUAUGCACGUCUUGACGGUACCUAAUCAGAAAGCCACGGCUAACUACGUGC
This 498-nucleotide ribosomal RNA is filed under the name uncultured bacterium. RNAcentral's name for it is "partial 16S ribosomal RNA". It matches the Rfam family "Bacterial small subunit ribosomal RNA", at positions 28 to 508 of the family's 1533-position model. The record is from RNAcentral.